Molecule: ribosomal RNA, 497 nt
Filed under: uncultured bacterium
Lineage: Bacteria
Description: partial 16S ribosomal RNA
Rfam family: Bacterial small subunit ribosomal RNA
Source: RNAcentral
GACGAACGCUGGCGGCGUGCCUAAUACAUGCAAGUCGAGCGCUGAAGCUUGGUGCUUGCACCGAGCGGAUGAGUUGCGAACGGGUGAGUAACGCGUAGGUAACCUGCCUGGUAGCGGGGGAUAACUAUUGGAAACGAUAGCUAAUACCGCAUAAGAGUAGAUGUUGCAUGACAUUUGCUUAAAAGGUGCAAUUGCAUCACUACCAGAUGGACCUGCGUUGUAUUAGCUAGUUGGUGAGGUAACGGCUCACCAAGGCAACGAUACAUAGCCGACCUGAGAGGGUGAUCGGCCACACUGGGACUGAGACACGGCCCAGACUCCUACGGGAGGCAGCAGUAGGGAAUCUUCGGCAAUGGACGGAAGUCUGACCGAGCAACGCCGCGUGAGUGAAGAAGGGUGUCGGAUCGUAAAGCUCUGUUGUAAGAGAAGAACGAGUGUGAGAGUGGAAAGUUCACACUGUGACGGUAUCUUACCAGAAAGGGACGGCUAACUACGUG